This 75-nucleotide transfer RNA is filed under the name Candidatus Omnitrophota bacterium. Its description in RNAcentral is "Candidatus Omnitrophica bacterium (groundwater metagenome) tRNA-Thr". It matches the Rfam family "tRNA". Rfam says of the family: Transfer RNA (tRNA) molecules are approximately 80 nucleotides in length. The record is from RNAcentral. Lineage: Bacteria; Pseudomonadati; Candidatus Omnitrophota.
GCCGGGGUAGCUCAAUGGUAGAGCAGUUGCUUUGUAAGCAUCAGGUUGGAGGUUCGAUCCCUCUUCCCGGCUCCA